RNAcentral lists this ribosomal RNA (393 nucleotides) under uncultured bacterium. RNAcentral describes it as "bacterial SSU rRNA". It matches the Rfam family "Bacterial small subunit ribosomal RNA", at positions 28 to 414 of the family's 1533-position model. The record is from RNAcentral.
GACGAACGCUGGCGGCGUGCCUAACACAUGCAAGUGGAGCGACGAACCGGGCUUCGGCCCGGGGCCAAGCCGCGAACGGGUGAGUAACACGUGGGUAACCUGCCCUGAUGAUUGGGACAACCCGAGGAAACUCGGGCUAAUACCGAAUAUGCCCUCCGACCAUAAGGUCUGCGGGGAAAGGAAGCUUCGGCCUCCGCAUCGGGAUGGGCCCGCGGCGCAUUAGCUUGUUGGUGAGGUAACGGCUCACCAAGGCGACGAUGCGUAGCUGGUCUGAGAGGACGAUCAGCCACACUGGGACUGAGACACGGCCCAGACUCCUACGGGAGGCAGCAGUGGGGAACCUUGCGCAAUGCGCGAAAGCGUGACGCAGCAACGCCGCGUGGGGGAAGACGG